Molecule: ribosomal RNA, 118 nt
Filed under: Lepisosteus oculatus (spotted gar)
Lineage: Eukaryota; Metazoa; Chordata; Actinopteri; Semionotiformes; Lepisosteidae
Source: RNAcentral
GCCGGCAGCCAUGUCACUCUGCAACUCACAUCUAACAAAUUACUGAAGCUCAGCAGUGUGAGCCUGGUCAGUACCUGGAUGGGAGACCUCCUGGGAAAAACUUAGGUUGCUGCUGGAA